This is a long non-coding RNA of Telopea speciosissima, 132 nucleotides long. RefSeq lists it as uncharacterized. The record is from RefSeq and is a predicted model, not a curated record. NCBI's taxonomy places the organism in Eukaryota, Viridiplantae, Streptophyta, Magnoliopsida, Proteales, Proteaceae. The transcript has 3 exons.
UCGAGAAUCCGAAAUGACGGCACAGCACAAGCCGCCAUACCUCCGGAGGCUCCGCUUUGCCGCAGAUCCAACUCUGGUUUGUAGGAGAAAGAAUAUUACCUAACUGAGGAAGGUGAAAAUCAGGAUGUGGAU